GACGAACGCUGGCGGCGUGCUUAACACAUGCAAGUCGAACGGAAAGGCCCUGCUUUUGCGGGGUGCUCGAGUGGCGAACGGGUGUGUAUCACGCGAGUAACCUGCCCUUGACUUUGGGAUAACUUCAGGAAACUGGGGCUAAUACCGGAUAGGAGCUCCUGCUGCAUGGUGGGGGUUGGAAAGUUUCGGCGGUUGGGGAUGGACUCGCGGCUUAUCAGCUUGUUGGUGGGGUAGUGGCUUACCAAGGCUUCGACGGGUAGCCGGCCUGAGAGGGUGACCGGCCACAUUGGGACUGAGGUACGGCCCAGACGCCAACGGGAGGCAGCGGGGGAGAAUAUUGCACAAUGGGCGGAAGCCGGAUGCAGCGGCGCCGCGUGCGGGAUGACGGCCUUCGGGUUGUAAACCGCUUUCGCCUGUGACGAAGCGUGAGUGACGGUAAUGGGUAAAGAAGCACCGGCUAACUACGUG
This 468-nucleotide ribosomal RNA is filed under the name uncultured bacterium. RNAcentral's name for it is "partial 16S ribosomal RNA". It matches the Rfam family "Bacterial small subunit ribosomal RNA", at positions 28 to 507 of the family's 1533-position model. The record is from RNAcentral.